UUCAGUUCUUCUACAUGUAUAUAUAUAUAUAUAAACACGCACGGAUAGAACUUAGAAAAUAUUAAAGAUUAAAUCUUUGGUGUCAUUAUAACCUUUUAAUUUUCAUACCAAAACACGCACGCAAUUAGAUAGAACUGUUAGUUCUGCAACAAUUGGUUCUUAUUUCAAUUGGAUCUUUUUUAAUUUUCAUAUUCAUAGCGGCAUUUCUCUCCGUGUAUCUUAGUUCUUGGGGAGAAUAAUUGAAUUUCUUAGUAGUUCUACAUUCUAAAGUUUGUUUGGGUUGUCUCUCUUUGUCAUAAAGAUUAGAUUAUAUUCUUCUUUUUGGCCGAGCAAAUAUUUAUUUUGGACCAUGCCCAAAUAUUUGCUUGCUUUAAUGACUUGAGCAUAGCCUAAAAUAAUGUGGGUCUCUACUAUCUGGGUACAAUGGUAAUGUAAAAAACUAUUUAUAUGCUUUAGAGGAAGAUUGCGGAACAACAGUUUGGACAUACCAAAAAGAUGGUGAAGAUGGGUUACCAGACUCAUUGGCAAGGAAGGGUAAUUGAACCCUAAUUGUCCCUCCCAUUCUGAAUUCCUACCUUGUAAAAGAGUACAUAAGAUAGGAUUACUUGGGAAAACUUGUAGCUGAAUUUUGGGAUCUAAGGAUGUGGUUCUGGGCUUUGUGGCUACAUCCAUCACUUUGGAAUGGUCUAGUACAUCAGUUCGAGGUCAAAUUUCUUCCCUACCCUUAAACUCGGAACAGUUCCUGGUAUGUCAUCUUACCAUCCUUUGAUGCAUAUGGAAGUUCUGAAAUUCAUGAAAAAAAAUAGAGAGAGAAUUUAUAAUUUUUUUUUCUUUUCUUAAAUGUGUUUGAUUUCAUUCCAAAGAUAAGAGUUCAGUACAAGAGAAAAGUAGAGGCAUUCCUCCACAUUCAUAAAGGUGUUGCAUUGUACAGUUGACCUCCUAAACCAGGCAUAUCAGACGCAUUUUGACAGAUUAUAGGGACUUUAAAUUGCUUAAGAAUCUAUAGAUUGGUCUGGUCCGAGCCACCUUAAAUUUCUUCUUAUUGAGGACACCUACUGGUAUUUGAACACACGGGACAAAGUCCUGGAUUCCACUAGGACAAUGAACUCUGCUUGAUUUUCUUCGUUCAUAACAGGAAACUGUUUGCAAGACUCUGCAGGUUGGUUAAGUCCAAUAUUUGAUGGCAGGGGCCACAUCAGUUUUUUUUUUGUUCUUUUUUACUGAAACAUCAGAGUAUAUGUUCACUAAAAUAAACUCUCACAGAGACAGGUACUGGUGUUUGUACCCUAACCUUGAAUACCAGACAAAGUCCGGGUUACCACCUAGGACAACAGACUGUUGCUUAAUUUCCUUCUCUUAUACAGGGAGUAUACCUAUAGUGUGCCUUUCAGGUACAUGCAAUCUAUGGUGAAGUUCGGCCAUGAUUCUCUGGUGGAGCCAAUUCCACAGAAUUUGAAGUUGUCGGUUUAGCAAUUUGCUUGCUGAAAACAAGAUGUAUAACAAGUAUAGAACUGGCCUAAUGGAGUCUGCAAAGAGAAUUGAUGCCAGAGAUACCACUGCCAGUGAACCAAACAGCACCAUACUACGACGAAGAACAAGGGCAAAAGUUGGAUGAGUAGAAGAAAAUCUCAGCUUAGCAUCGAAUGCCAAGCAGUAUAUGAGCAAACUAACAAUGCUGGCCUGCAUGCUCUUGGGGUGUGUUUCAAAUGGAGAUUUAUCCUUUCCUUGGUACAUCAAUUCGAGAUAGUUGAUGAUAAUUGGAACAAUGAAGGCGAGAAUGGCUUGGCGAGUAGUGGGUAUACAUGGUCCUUGAGAGAAGUAGUAUCUCGUGGCCAUAAAUGCCAUGUUGAACUGUCCGGUGAAGUUCCUUCGUAUGUGGGGCAGAGAGUGGAAUGUUCUUGCAGUAUCGGCCAUAGGAUUCGGAGCACAAAUCUGUGGAAGCUACUUGAGCUAGCACAAUAUAUCAAUAUUGAAGAUGAAAGGAAAUGAAUAGUAAAGGAUUUGGAGGACAAAUCUGAAGAGGGUACUUGAGUUAGCACAAGAUAUAAAUCUCGAAAUGAAAGGAGGAAAUGAAUAAGGAAAGGAUUUGGAACACAAAUCUGAAGAGGGUACUUGAGUUAGCACAUGACAUAAAUCUCAAAGAUGAAAGGAAAUUUAUAGUAAACUAUAAGAAGAAAGUGAAGGUGUGUCAAAAUAGUGGGCUUUUUCUAGAGAUGUUGGUUUGAGGAAAGUCUUGGGUAACUUCUUCUGCUUUAAAGUCUUUAUUUUUUCUUUUUAAAGUCUUCAGAUAGUGGGGUUUUUGGUACCAUUUGGCGGCACAUGGAUUGUACUACAUGGACUCCUGAGUCUUGCGUGGUGCAGAGGAAUUACAAAACGGUUCCGGCCAAUCAAAUGCCCGAGAAAGGAAAUGCCUCUUUCAGGAAACUGUUGAAAAUAAAGGAAAUGCCCGAGAAAGGAAAUGGACUCCUCUUUCAUCGCUUUCACAUUUGAAAAUAAAGUAUAAGAUACCAACACUUUGGGUACGACCUAAAUCCACAGCAACAAUUGUUUUGAGCCAAGAAACAUGAGAAGAACAAAAUAAAUUGUAAAUAUUUUUUUUAGGAAAGAGUAGAUUUUUCUCUUCUUUUUUGCUUUUCCUAGUUGGUUCUAACAAACAUGUCCCUUCUGAGACUUGAACUUCUAACCUCUCUUUGAGAGGUAAGGGGUUGAUACCGCUAGGCAACUGACCUGUUGGUGAUAAUUUUUCAUUCAUUCAAUUAAAAAUAGUUUCUUAAAAA
Molecule: long non-coding RNA, 2777 nt
Organism: Cornus florida
Lineage: Eukaryota; Viridiplantae; Streptophyta; Magnoliopsida; Cornales; Cornaceae
Exons: 2
Source: RefSeq, a predicted model, not a curated record